GAUGAACGCUAGCGGCAGGCUUAAUACAUGCAAGUCGAGGGGCAUCAAGGUACACGAAAGUGUAUUGUUGGCGACCGGCGGACGGGUGAGUAAUAGGUAGGUAACCUACCUCAUACUGAGGCAUAGCUGGGAGAAAUUCCAGGUAAUUCCUCAUGAGGUUAUAUGACACAUGUGAUAUAAUCAAAGGUAUCGCAAGGUACUGGUAUGAGAUGGGCUUACUGACCAUUAGCUAGUUGGUGAGAUAAGAGCUCACCAAGGCGAAGAUGGUUAGGGGUUUUGAGAGAGAGAUCCCCCACAUUGGAACUGAGAUACGGUCCAGACUCCUACGGGAGGCAGCAGUAGGGAAUAUUGGGCAAUGGGCGGAAGCCUGACCCAGCCAUGCCGCGUGAAGGAAGACGGCCUUAUGGGUUGUAAACUUCUUUACUAUGCGACUAACUAGAUUUACGAGAUAAUUCUAUAGAAUGUAGCAUAGACAAAAGCACCGGUA
This 487-nucleotide ribosomal RNA is filed under the name uncultured bacterium. RNAcentral's name for it is "bacterial SSU rRNA". It matches the Rfam family "Bacterial small subunit ribosomal RNA", at positions 28 to 498 of the family's 1533-position model. The record is from RNAcentral.